Molecule: ribosomal RNA, 425 nt
Filed under: uncultured bacterium
Lineage: Bacteria
Description: partial 16S ribosomal RNA
Rfam family: Bacterial small subunit ribosomal RNA
Source: RNAcentral
GUGGGGAAUAUUGGACAAUGGGCGAAAGCCUGAUCCAGCAAUGCCGCGUGAGUGAUGAAGGCCUUAGGGUUGUAAAGCUCUUUUACCAGGGAUGAUAAUGACAGUACCUGGAGAAUAAGCUCCGGCUAACUCCGUGCCAGCAGCCGCGGUAAUACGGAGGGAGCUAGCGUUGUUCGGAAUUACUGGGCGUAAAGCGCACGUAGGCGGUUACUCAAGUCAGAGGUGAAAGCCCGGGGCUCAACCCCGGAACUGCCUUUGAAACUAGGUAACUAGAAUCUUGGAGAGGUCAGUGGAAUUCCGAGUGUAGAGGUGAAAUUCGUAGAUAUUCGGAAGAACACCAGUGGCGAAGGCGACUACCUGGACUGAUACUGACACUGAGGUGCGAAAGCGUGGGGAGCAAACAGGAUUAGAAACCCGGGUAGUCC